This 253-nucleotide ribosomal RNA is filed under the name uncultured prokaryote. RNAcentral's name for it is "partial 16S ribosomal RNA". It matches the Rfam family "Bacterial small subunit ribosomal RNA", at positions 525 to 777 of the family's 1533-position model. The record is from RNAcentral.
ACGGAGGGUGCAAGCGUUAUUCGGAAUUAUUGGGCGUAAAGCGCGCGUAGGUGGUUUACUAAGUCUGGUGUGAAAUCCCUGGACCCAAUCCAGGAAGUGCAUUGGAUACUGGUAGACUAGAGUGCAGGAGAGGAGAGCGGAAUUCCAGGUGUAGAGGUGAAAUUCGUAGAUAUCUGGAGGAACAACAGAGGCGAAGGCGGCUCUCUGGACUGCAACUGACACUGAGGCGCGAAAGCGUGGGGAGCAAACAGGA